RNAcentral lists this ribosomal RNA (492 nucleotides) under uncultured bacterium. RNAcentral describes it as "partial 16S ribosomal RNA". It matches the Rfam family "Bacterial small subunit ribosomal RNA", at positions 30 to 507 of the family's 1533-position model. The record is from RNAcentral.
AUUGAACGCUGGCGGCAUGCUUUACACAUGCAAGUCGAACGGUAACAGGCCUUCGGGUGCUGACGAGUGGCGAACGGGUGAGUAAUGCAUCGGAACGUGCCCAGAGGUGGGGGAUAACGCAGCGAAAGCUGUGCUAAUACCGCAUGUGAUCUGAGGAUGAAAGCGGGGGACCAGGCAGCAAUGUUUGGCCUCGCGCCUUUGGAGCGGCCGAUGUCAGAUUAGGUAGUUGGUGGGGUAAAGGCCUACCAAGCCGACAAUCUGUAGCUGGUCUGAGAGGACGACCAGCCACACUGGGACUGAGCCACGGCCCAGACUCCUACGGGAGGCAGCAGUGGGGAAUUUUGGACAAUGGGCGCAAGCCUGAUCCAGCAAUGCCGCGUGCGGGAAGAAGGCCUUCGGGUUGUAAACCGCUUUUGUACGGAACGAAAAGGCUCUGGCUAAUACCUGGGGCUGAUGACGGUACCGUAAGAAUAAGCACCGGCUAACUACGUG